CCUACGGGUGGCUGCAGUGGGGAAUAUUGGACAAUGGGCGCAAGCCUGAUCCAGCCAUACCGCGUGGGUGAAGAACGGCCUUCGGGUUGUAAAGCCCUUUUCCGUUGGGAAAGACAAUCCAGCCGGCUAAUACCUGGUUGGGAUGACGGUACCCAAAGAAUAAGCACCGGCUAACUUCCGUGCCAGCACGCCGCGGUACAUACGAACGGGUGCAAGCGUUCACUCGGCAAUUCACUCGGGCGCUACAACGCGUGCGCUACGGUGGUUGUCUUAAGUCUGCUUGUGACAAGCCCUGGGCUCAACCUGGGAACUGCACGUGGAAACUCGGACAACUAGAGUGUGGUAGAGGGUAGCGGAAUUCCCGGUGUAGCAGUGAAAUGCGUAGAGAUCGGGCAGGAACAUCCAUGGCGACAGGCAGCUCACCUGGAACCAACACUGACACUGAGCGCACGAAAGCGUGGGGAGCAAACAGGAUUAGAUACCCCAGUAGUC
This 492-nucleotide ribosomal RNA is filed under the name Stenotrophomonas sp. RNAcentral's name for it is "bacterial SSU rRNA". It matches the Rfam family "Bacterial small subunit ribosomal RNA", at positions 338 to 795 of the family's 1533-position model. The record is from RNAcentral. Lineage: Bacteria; Pseudomonadati; Pseudomonadota; Gammaproteobacteria; Lysobacterales; Lysobacteraceae.